CAGCAGUGGGGAAUAUUGCACAAUGGGGGAAACCCUGAUGCAGCCAUGCCGCGUGUGUGAAGAAGGCCUUCGGGUUGUAAAGCACUUUCAGUAGGGAGGAAGGUAGUGUAGUUAACACCUGCAUUAUUUGACGUUACCUACAGAAGAAGCACCGGCUAACUCCGUGCCAGCAGCCGCGGUAAUACGGAGGGUGCGAGCGUUAAUCGGAAUUACUGGGCGUAAAGCGCGUGCAGGCGGCCUGUUAAGUCAGAUGUGAAAGCCCGGGGCUUAACCUCGGAAUUGCAUUUGAAACUGGCAGGCUAGAGUCUUGUAGAGGGGGUAGAAUUUCAGGUGUAGCGGUGAAAUGCGUAGAGAUCUGAAGGAAUACCAGUGGCGAAGGCGGCCCCCUGGACAAAGACUGACGCUCAGAUGCGAAAGCGUGGGGAGCAAACAGGAUUAGAUACCCUGGUAG
Molecule: ribosomal RNA, 451 nt
Filed under: uncultured bacterium
Lineage: Bacteria
Description: bacterial SSU rRNA
Rfam family: Bacterial small subunit ribosomal RNA
Source: RNAcentral